RNAcentral lists this ribosomal RNA (1329 nucleotides) under uncultured bacterium. Its description in RNAcentral is "partial 16S ribosomal RNA". It matches the Rfam family "Bacterial small subunit ribosomal RNA", at positions 82 to 1393 of the family's 1533-position model. The record is from RNAcentral.
GGGAGCAAGUAGAGUGGCGCACGGGUGAGUAACACGUAGGUAAUCUACCUUCGGAUGGGGAAUAACAACCGGAAACGAUUGCUAAUACCGCAUAAUGCAGCGGCACCUAAUGGUGACAGUUGUUAAAGCGGGGGAUCGCAAGACCUCGCGUCUGAAGAGGAGCCUGCGGCAGAUUAGCUAGUUGGUAAGGUAACGGCUUACCAAGGCGAUGAUCUGUAGCCGGCCUGAGAGGGCGGUCGGCCACACUGACACUGACAUACGGGUCAGACUCCUACGGGAGGCAGCAGUCGGGAAUUUUGGGCAAUGGGCGAAAGCCUGACCCAGCAACGCCGCGUGAAGGAUGAAAUCCCUCGGGAUGUAAACUUCGCAAGAACAGGAAGAAUAAGUGAGAGUUAAUAUCUCUUACGAUGACGGUACUGUUUGUAAGCUCCGGCUAACUCCGUGCCAGCAGCCGCGGUAAUACGGGGGGGGCAAGCGUUGUUCGGAAUUACUGGGCGUAAAGGGCUCGUAGGCGGCCAACUAAGUCCGACGUGAAAUCCCCAGGCUUAACCUGGGAACUGCGUCGGAUACUGGAUGGCUUGAAUUCGGGAGAGGGAUGCAGAAUUCCAGGUGUAGCGGUGAAAUGCGUAGAUAUCUGGAGGAAUACCGGUGGCGAAGGCGGCAUCCUGGACCGACAUUGACGCUGAGGAGCGAAAGCUAGGGGAGCAAACGGGAUUAGAUACCCCGGUAGUCCUAGCCCUAAACGAUGAAUGCUUGGUGUGGCGGGUAUCGAUCCCUGCCGUGCCGAAGCUAACGCAUUAAGCGCCCCGCCUGGGGAGUACGGCCGCAAGGCUAAAACUCAAAGGAAUUGACGGGGGCCCGCACAAGCGGCGGAGCAUGCGGAUUAAUUCGAUGCAACGCGAAGAACCUUACCUGGGUUUGACAUGGGCGGUAAUCCGGCAGAGAUGUCGGGUCCUUCGGGGCCGUUCACAGGUGGUGCAUGGCUGUCGUCAGCUCGUGUCGUGAGAUGUUGGGUUAAGUCCCGCAACGAGCGCAACCCUCGUUCGAUGUUGCCAGCGGGUUAUGCCGGGGACUCAUCGAAGACUGCCGGGGUCAACUCGGAGGAAGGUGGGGAUGACGUCAAGUCAUCAUGCCCCUUAUGUCCAGGGCUUCACGCAUGCUACAAUGGCCGGUACAAAGGGCUGCGAUACCGUGAGGUGGAGCGAAUCCCAAAAAGCCGGUCUCAGUUCGGAUCGGGGUCUGCAACUCGACCCCGUGAAGUCGGAGUCGCUAGUAAUCGCAGAUCAGCAACGCUGCGGUGAUACGUUCCCGGGCCGUUGUACACACCGC